This 432-nucleotide ribosomal RNA is filed under the name uncultured bacterium. RNAcentral's name for it is "partial 16S ribosomal RNA". It matches the Rfam family "Bacterial small subunit ribosomal RNA", at positions 29 to 506 of the family's 1533-position model. The record is from RNAcentral.
AACGAACGCUGGCGGCAUGCCUAACACAUGCAAGUCGAACGAGACCUUCGGGUCUAGUGGCGCACGGGUGCGUAACGCGUGGGAACCUGCCCUUAGGUUCGGAAUAACUCCCCGAAAGGGGUGCUAAUACCGGAUAAUGUCUUCGGACCAAAGAUUUAUCGCCUUUGGAUGGGCCCGCGUUGGAUUAGCUAGUUGGUAGGGUAAAAGCCUACCAAGGCGACGAUCCAUAGCUGGUCUGAGAGGAUGAUCAGCCACACUGGGACUGAGACACGGCCCAGACUCGUGCGGGAGGCAGCAGUGGGGAAUAUUGGAGAAUGAGCGAAAGCCUGAUCCAGCAAGGCCGCGUGAGUGAUGAAGGCGUUAGGGUUGUAAAGCUCUUUUACCCGGGAGGAUAAUGACAGUACCGGGAGAAUAAGCUCCGGCUAACUCCGU